CAUCGCCUCUUGCUUAAAUAUAAGAGGUCCAGCCUGCCCAGUGACAAAAUUUAACGGCCGCGGUACCCUGACCGUGCGAAGGUAGCAUAAUCACUUGUUCUUUAAAUAGGGACUAGUAUCAACGGCAUCACGAGGGUUUUACUGUCUCCUUUCUCCAAUCAGUGAAACUGAUCUUCCCGUGAAGAAGCGGGAAUAAACCUAUAAGACGAGAAGACCCCAUGGAGCUUUAAAUUUCACAGCAACUCAGUAACAUAUUUCCUUAUAACUCAAAGAGUUAUGCAUGCCAAUUUUAGGUUGGGGUGACCGCGGAGUAUAAAAUAACCUCCACAUCGAAAAGAACUAAAUCUUUAUUUAAGAGCCACAACUCUAAAAAUUAGUACACUAACGAACAAUGACCCGAUAAUCGAUCAACGGACCAAGUUACCCUGGGGAUAACAGCGCAAUCUACUUCAAGAGCCCAUAUCGACAAGUAGGCUUACGACCUCGAUGUUGGAUCAGGGUAUCCCAGUGGUGCAGCCGCUACUAAUGGUUCGUUUGUUCAACGAUUAAAACCCUACGU
Molecule: ribosomal RNA, 559 nt
Rfam family: Bacterial large subunit ribosomal RNA